This is a non-coding RNA of Schizosaccharomyces pombe (fission yeast), 311 nucleotides long. The record is from the annotation of a GenBank genome assembly. NCBI's taxonomy places the organism in Eukaryota, Fungi, Ascomycota, Schizosaccharomycetes, Schizosaccharomycetales, Schizosaccharomycetaceae.
AGAGUUUUUGAGGAAGAAAGCAAAGAGGGAUCGUUUUCUGUCAUUUCUCGGAACAACCUUUCUAUAGUUGUAUGAUUAAUUUUAUUCAUAUUUUCCUGCGAUAAAAAGGAGUCUCUAUAUUCCUCCGCUUCAAAAUGUUUUUCUCCAAACACCGUUGUAUAAAAACAUGCUAGAAACAACCCAUAAAUGAAAAACCGUUGCAAUAAAAACAUUUUAAAAAUAGUAGAUGAAAUCCCGUAAAAACCCAAAUGCCAGGUUGAUGUUUAAGGGGAAGGUGAAUUUUGAAAAUCUGUGGCCAAGGGCUAUAAUGC